ACGGGUGAGUAACGCGUGGGAACGUGCCUUCUGGUUCGGAAUAACUCAGGGAAACUUGAGCUAAUACCGGAUACGCCCUUUUUGGGGAAAGGUUUACUGCCGGAAGAUCGGCCCGCGUCUGAUUAGCUAGUUGGUGGGGUAACGGCCUACCAAGGCGACGAUCAGUAGCUGGUCUGAGAGGAUGAUCAGCCACACUGGGACUGAGACACGGCCCAGACUCCUACGGGAGGCAGCAGUGGGGAAUAUUGGACAAUGGGCGCAAGCCUGAUCCAGCCAUGCCGCGUGAGUGAUGAAGGCCUUAGGGUUGUAAAGCUCUUUUAUCCGGGACGAUAAUGACGGUACCGGAGGAAUAAGCCCCGGCUAACUUCGUGCCAGCAGCCGCGGUAAUACGAAGGGGGCUAGCGUUGCUCGGAAUCACUGGGCGUAAAGGGCGCGUAGGCGGUCUUUUAAGUCGGGGGUGAAAGCCUGUGGCUCAACCACAGAAUUGCCUUCGAUACUGGGAGACUUGAGUUCGGAAGAGGUUGGUGGAACUGCGAGU
RNAcentral lists this ribosomal RNA (538 nucleotides) under uncultured bacterium. RNAcentral describes it as "bacterial SSU rRNA". It matches the Rfam family "Bacterial small subunit ribosomal RNA", at positions 102 to 674 of the family's 1533-position model. The record is from RNAcentral.